RNAcentral lists this ribosomal RNA (247 nucleotides) under uncultured bacterium. RNAcentral's name for it is "partial 16S ribosomal RNA". It matches the Rfam family "Bacterial small subunit ribosomal RNA", at positions 524 to 772 of the family's 1533-position model. The record is from RNAcentral.
UACGUAGGGUGCGAGCGUUAAUCGGAAUUACUGGGCGUAAAGCGUGCGCAGGCGGUGAUGUAAGACAGGUGUGAAAUCCCCGGGCUUAACCUGGGAACUGCAUUUGUGACUGCAUCGCUGGAGUGCGGCAGAGGGGAUGGAAUUCCGCGUGUAGCAGUGAAAUGCGUAGAUAUGCGGAGGAACACCGAUGGCGAAGGCAAUCCCCUGGGCCUGCACUGACGCUCAUGCACGAAAGCGUGGGAGCAAC